This 1280-nucleotide long non-coding RNA is filed under the name Vigna radiata. RNAcentral's name for it is "long non-coding RNA (VRAD_LNC018090)". Lineage: Eukaryota; Viridiplantae; Streptophyta; Magnoliopsida; Fabales; Fabaceae. The record is from RNAcentral.
UUUGAAAAUUUUAUUAUAUGACAUAUUGAGUUUGCGCACAGUUCUUGUUAUAUGAAUACAGGUGUGAUAGAUGAUUGCACAACUCCAAGGACAAAAGGCCAAAAGUGAACAAGAAAAAUUAACAUGAAUUCUGGCAUUUUACUUUCCUUUUAUGAAGGUUGUAGUAGAUGAACAAAACCAAUACCUCCAAACUUUUACCUGACUGAAACUCGACACUUAAGCAUGCGGAUCCCCUUCCAAUUAAUUCCACCACACAAUCUAAGAAGAGAAAAGCAAAAGAAUGAAGUUUACUUCUUUACAAUAGCAUAUAAUAAAAAAAUAAGAAUCAUAGCAUGAUUACUGACACCACACCGAAAGUAAUUAUACCAAGGAAGCAUUCCAACAUUCUUGAAUGCAAUUGAAAUAAAAGAUAACCUGCCUACUUACAUCACCAUUUAAAUAAAACAAUUACCAUUUUAAAAGUUAAAGUGGAACUCACGCAUGUCUUAAAAUCAAUAAAAGGAAUUAUCAAUGCCUCUCCCUUUUUUUCUCACAUUAUGAAACACCAUAAGACACAACUAACCCCCUUUUAAAUCCUUCUCUUAUAACCCAUACUUUAAGUUCUCUUUUUCUCUUCUUCUAACUAUCACAUUCUUCCUCCCAAAUCUCUAUCUCUAACUACUACUCAUAAAACAUAAAACAUGGUACUAACUUUUUUCCUACAUUUGUGUUUAUUGUUCAAAGCUUCUUUUAUACUUCGUUGAUGUCUUAAUGAUUUUGCACUUUUCCCCCUGUGUUGUUUAUAGGUUCUGGUUGCAGGUCAUGGAGAGGAGGAAAAAGGGGCAGAAGGCAUUGCUGUUGUGGAUUUUUGAGGCAACCCAGUACACAAGACAAAAACCGGAGGAUGGCUAGCAGCAGGGCUCAUCUUAGGUUCAUAUUCAUCUAAAUCCAUAGAAAUUGUAGUCAUGUUCUCAAGGUUGAACCUAAUUUGGCUCCAACAAUUUAUACUAUUUAUUCACAUCUCUUUAGCAUAUAUCAAUUUAUAUCCGAUGAUCACCAGUUAACACCCUCACACAAAUUCAGCACACAACAUAGAAAGAGAAAGACAAGUUCCAACUUAAAACAAUAAUAAAAUGUAUUUUGGCUAUAUCAAAAGUUCAUUUUCUAGAGUUCACCAGGUUACGACUACUUCAACACACCAAUUUAUCAUAUUUCAAGCCACAUACAAUAUAAUUUAUCACACUAACACAAUAUAACAUUAUAAAACAUCUAUUAAACAACGAAUUAAUACUUACCAAGUC